GACGAACGCUGGCGGCGUGCCUAAUACAUGCAAGUAGAACGCACAGUUUAUACCGUAGCUUGCUACACCAUAGACUGUGAGUUGCGAACGGGUGAGUAACGCGUAGGUAACCUGCCUGGUAGCGGGGGAUAACUAUUGGAAACGAUAGCUAAUACCGCAUAAUAUUAAUUAUUGCAUGAUAAUUAAUUGUAAGGUGCAAUUGCACCACUACCAGAUGGACCUGCGUUGUAUUAGCUAGUAGGUGAGGUAACGGCUCACCUAGGCGACGAUACAUAGCCGACCUGAGAGGGGGAGCGGCCACACUGGGAUUGAGACACGGCCCAGACUACUACGGGAGGGAGCAGUAGGGAAUCUUCGGCAAUGGAAGAAAGUCUGACCGAGCAACGCCGCGUGAGUGAAGAAGGUUUUCGGAUCGUAAAGCUCAGUUGUAAGAGAAGAACGGGUGUGAGAGUGGAAAGUUCACACUGUGACGGUAGCUUACCAGAAAGGGACGGCUAACUACGUG
Molecule: ribosomal RNA, 505 nt
Filed under: uncultured bacterium
Lineage: Bacteria
Description: partial 16S ribosomal RNA
Rfam family: Bacterial small subunit ribosomal RNA
Source: RNAcentral